RNAcentral lists this transfer RNA (63 nucleotides) under Aulacophora lewisii. RNAcentral describes it as "tRNA-Glu". The record is from RNAcentral. Lineage: Eukaryota; Metazoa; Arthropoda; Insecta; Coleoptera; Chrysomelidae.
AUUUAUAUAGUUUAAUAAAAACAUCAUACUUUCAUUAUGAAAAUAGAACUAUUCUUAUAAAUU